AGAGAGACUCGGCCAGCCGGUGAGGUGCCUGGGAUCUCACAGUCAGGGAGUCUGUCUUAAUGUGGUGCUUUUGAAUCAUGGCUCUUCUCUCUUUAAGAGAUUGGCUAUCAGGAGAAGGCUGACGGCUGCAGCAUGAAGCGCAUUAUUACCUUGUGAUUCCAUGACCCUCCUCUAUGCAUCCCUAACUCUCGAAAGCUGAUUCAGCUUUCAGCUAGUGCUCUGGUGACUCUACUGCUGCAACAGAAUCUUCUAACUGGUAUGUUACAGGCAUCCUCAGUUGUCAUGGAGUUCAACCGGAUGAUAUUUAAAAACAAUUAAAACCAACCCCCAAGCCUCAAAAGGGCUUUCUGGGGUUUCGUAUCUGCAAGGUAGUGUUUCACUUACAAUGACCUGCAAAGGAAAAAUCUCUGGAGUCUCUAGACGGAGGUUUCGUAGCAUCACUCAUUUUUUACUGAUUGGCAGUGACAGCAGCCAGCUCGCCCUAGAACCCAAGAAAGUGUGGAUAUUUCACAAACGGGAAAGGGGCAGGGAGAAAGCAUGGACAUCAUCUUACAUUUGGAGGAGAGCCGAUAUCACUGACACAAGAAUUGUGAUCUUGACGAGUACUCAAGCAAUAGCUAAAGGCAGAGAAAUAAAAAAUGUGGCUGGAUAAUACAAAUGUUUGCUCAACCAGGAGAAGAAAUGAAAGCCAUGUUAAAGGCUGCCCCAUAAAUCUGAUAUGUACCGUUCCCUCGCCCACAGUAGACUGGAUCUGCAGAGAAACAUAAGCAGACUAAGGUGAGGAGAGUGCUAAUCAGAACUGGUAUAAGGUAGCCGGGCAUUUAGUGUACAGCCGCCAAGAAGAACGAAGCAAAACACCAGUAUUUCAAUAGAAAGGACCAAGAGCAUGUGGGAAAUUCUAAUGAACUUGCCAACUGUUUGUCCUAGUUUAUACAUUACAGCAGGUUUUGAUUUUACAUAAUACUGUAUUUAAAAAACCUUCAAUAAAAAAAGUUUUCGAAGAGAA
Molecule: long non-coding RNA, 1006 nt
Organism: Gopherus evgoodei (Goodes thornscrub tortoise)
Lineage: Eukaryota; Metazoa; Chordata; Testudines; Testudinidae
Exons: 6
Source: RefSeq, a predicted model, not a curated record